ACAUGAUGAUACGCCAGCUGGCACCAGUCAUAGAGUGAUUUUGUACUCCCAUCUUUGAUGACCAAAACGCUCGGUCUUAAGACCAUCUCUGAU
This 93-nucleotide small nucleolar RNA is filed under the name Colletotrichum chlorophyti. Its description in RNAcentral is "A. fumigatus snoRNA Afu_190". It matches the Rfam family "A. fumigatus snoRNA Afu_190". Lineage: Eukaryota; Fungi; Ascomycota; Sordariomycetes; Glomerellales; Glomerellaceae. The record is from Rfam by way of RNAcentral.